AUGGACCAAUCCAUCCCUUUUUCUAGUGCAUAUGCAUUGGACUCCGAUGACAAUGGUCCCGAUGAAGAAGUUGAUGAGGAGGGGUUCACGCCCAAGGAGGCCUAAGCAUUUAAGAAGGUAUUCGGGCAGGAUCACAAGACACCAUUGUUCAAGGAUCUUAGUCUCGCGAAUGAAGCCAUUGUAGAUGGUGGCAAAUGUAUAUCUCUUGGAGCUAGGCCAAGUUCUCACCAUGAUUUGGAAGACGGCAAGAACGGGAUAUAUCCCGAUGGUGAGUUUCAAUCCUUCUUGGAAUUGAAGAUGUGGCUCGACAACUACUCAGUUAUGCAUUAUCGUCCACAUAAAGUGGUCAGCUCGGACGUCAAUGUGUGUGACACGGUUAAAUGUGAAGUGCCAAGACGUCUAAGGAUUGUGCGUGCAAGGCCAUGGAAAGGAGGUCCCACUUGGCGCAUAGUGAGUUGUACGCCAAGUCACAUGUGCCGACACAAGAAUGCGGAUGGUGAGCUUGUGGACCAACAACAAAGACAACUCACAUCCGAGUCAUUGCUUACAGGUUAUCCAACCAAAUAUCCACACUUCCAAUAA
Molecule: ribosomal RNA, 582 nt
Filed under: Triticum aestivum (bread wheat)
Lineage: Eukaryota; Viridiplantae; Streptophyta; Magnoliopsida; Poales; Poaceae
Description: partial small subunit ribosomal RNA
Source: RNAcentral